GUGCCAGCCGCCGCGGUAAUACCGGCAGCCCGAGUGAUGGCCGAUAUUACUGGGCCUAAAGCGUCCGUAGCUGGCCAGACAAGUCCGUUGGGAAAUCCACGCGCUCAACGCGUGGGCGUCCAGCGGAAACUGCACAGCUUGGGACCGGAAGGCUCGAAGGGUACGUUCGGGGUAGGAGUGAAAUCCCAUAAUCCCGCACGGACCACCGAUGGCGAGAGCACUUCGAGAAAACGGAUCCGACAGUGAGGGACGAAAGCCAGGGUCUCCAACCGGAUUAGAAACCCGAGUAGUCC
Molecule: ribosomal RNA, 293 nt
Filed under: uncultured bacterium
Lineage: Bacteria
Description: partial 16S ribosomal RNA
Rfam family: Archaeal small subunit ribosomal RNA
Source: RNAcentral